RNAcentral lists this small nuclear RNA (107 nucleotides) under Procavia capensis (Cape rock hyrax). Lineage: Eukaryota; Metazoa; Chordata; Mammalia; Hyracoidea; Procaviidae. The record is from RNAcentral.
CUAGAAUGCUCGCUUUGGCAGAUACUGAAAUUGGAAUGAUACAGAGAAGGUUAGCAUGGCCUCUGCACAAGGAUGACACACAAUUUUGUGAAUCAUGCCAUAUUUUU